Molecule: ribosomal RNA, 201 nt
Filed under: Brevibacillus laterosporus
Lineage: Bacteria; Bacillati; Bacillota; Bacilli; Caryophanales; Paenibacillaceae
Description: partial 16S ribosomal RNA
Rfam family: Bacterial small subunit ribosomal RNA
Source: RNAcentral
UACAUGCAAGUCGAGCGAGGGUCUUCGGACCCUAGCGGCGGACGGGUGAGUAACACGUAGGCAACCUGCCUGUAAGACUGGGAUAACAUAGGGAAACUUAUGCUAAUACCGGAUAGGGUUUUGCUUCGCCUGAAGCGAAACGGAAAGAUGGCGCAAGCUAUCACUUACAGAUGGGCCUGCGGCGCAUUAGCUAGUUGGUGA